GGGGCUGUGGCUCAGUGGUACAGCACUCACCUAGCACAUGUGAGGUACUGGGUUCGAUCCCCAGCACUACUC
This 72-nucleotide transfer RNA is filed under the name Ictidomys tridecemlineatus (thirteen-lined ground squirrel). RNAcentral's name for it is "Spermophilus tridecemlineatus (thirteen-lined ground squirrel) tRNA". It matches the Rfam family "tRNA". Rfam says of the family: Transfer RNA (tRNA) molecules are approximately 80 nucleotides in length. The record is from Rfam by way of RNAcentral. Lineage: Eukaryota; Metazoa; Chordata; Mammalia; Rodentia; Sciuridae.